Camelus dromedarius (Arabian camel) is the source of this 2168-nucleotide long non-coding RNA. RefSeq lists it as uncharacterized. NCBI's taxonomy places the organism in Eukaryota, Metazoa, Chordata, Mammalia, Artiodactyla, Camelidae. The record is from RefSeq and is a predicted model, not a curated record. The transcript is spliced from 3 exons.
UGCUUUGGACCGUCUUCCACUGUAACGAGUCACUAAGUUGUUCAAGUGAGAUUUUAAAAGGAGCCCACUCCCGGCCACACAAGCUAGGACACGUCUCUCAGCUCCUUUCUUUUUUCCCUCCCUCCUUCCCUCCCUUCCUUCCUUUCUUUUUUUUUAAUGAAAAAGAACAGGAGGAGUAAAAAAGGCCAAGGCAAGCUCUGCGGAUAACUUCCUACUUCAUCACUCGGCCACGAGGGGCGGCCCUCUGUCGGCCUGACACCUGGUUCUGAGGUCCGGCCUCCGUUCUUCUCGUGCAGCUUGCUUUCACAGGAAAACCCUGGCUGAGAGAAUAUUGCAAAACAAAGGAGAAAACAAAGAACUUCAGCUGGUAAAAGACGUCUUUGUCCGUGACACCGAAUACGUGUCCUAUCUCUAACAGGUGGUGUUCGCUAAGGAUCCCCGCCGUCUGCAAGGAGGAGUCGCACCGAGAGAAGAAUGUUUUAAAGAAAAGGCAACUUGCGCAAAUGCCGAAGAGAAAUUUCACUGAAUUUCUAAAAUUCGGACACGCACCACGAAUCACGUGAGGCCGUGUCACAUAAAGUCACGGCUCUGUGAAGGAUAAAAUUCAUGCUGAAGCCAAGAGAUGUUGCUCCAGUGAAUGAUAUUCUGAAGCUCGGGUCAGAACACAACCGUGCCACAGUGAAUUUUUUAAGAAGUCAGGCAAGCUUGUAGACAAAUGUGCAAGCAGCCCCAGUGUUUACCCCAGUUGGGAAGGACCCCGUUUCGGGGAUGAGCACAGCACCGGGCUGAGCCUCGGAGGGAGGCCAGCACGGCCGCACAUCUGUUUCCAGUGCGGGGCUGGUAUGCAAACUAUUGUCUAUUGGAAGUGUGUGGUGGUAGCGUUUGCCAGGGUUAAAGGCUGGGUCAAUCUGAUCAAGAAGCUAAAAUUAGCUUCUGUGUGUUUUCCUGAAAAGAAAAAAAAAAACACUGUAAAGCUCUUUGUUUUCCUUCAAGUGCUGUUCUCAGAUUUCAGUUUCUGGUGUGUAAACUACCAGGAAACAGACGGCUCUGACAAGCGGCUUCUUGUUCGCGGGCCUCCGCGUUAUGAAACCGGGCGACAGGUUACCCGAGCCGGGGGACGCCUGCCGAAGCAGCCUUCCGCCCCAGCCCACACCUCCCGUUUGAAAGUAUUAACAUUAUAAAAUUAUUCAAAGUGAAUGCAUUUGGAAACUCAAAACCAGGGCUCUAUGUUGAAGCAUGCGAUGGUCUGGCAAAGCCCAAACACGUUAAGAAACUCGUCACUCUGAGAAGUGCUGGGGUAAGUUUCAGGUCACAUGUUACUGGGAGUCAUGACAGUAUCUGACUAUUUUCCUAGGAAGUGAGUUCCUUACAACUAAAAAGAGGAGAAAAAAAUUCCAGUCGGAACUCCAAGCCCGUAGGCAUUGGACAAAUUCAAAGAGCAGAGAGAAUCACAGAAACAAAAUACGGAGCCAUGAGAAAGUUCAAGAAAAGCGUCAAUAUGCUUUUAGGCUUAACAGCUGACGCCCAGAUACAUGGGAGACAGGGAGAGAGGAGCGACGGAGUUACCUGUCACGUCCAAGCGCUGGGAGUGGGGCACAAACAGACCACGAGCAGAAGCACGUAUGAAAUUUAUUUGCAUCCUAAGAGUCGCUUUUUCUUACACUGGAAAAGUGAGGUCACGGGAAUCUGUUUUCACUUGGGCAAAAUACCUCGUUAAUGUUUUAACUACUUCAAUAUUGCUAAUUGUUUAAAUGAUCUAUAUAAUGGAAUGAAAUGUGAUUUUACGAAGACCUGUAACGCACACAAGAGCUUUGGGGUGUAGGUUUUCCAGCCUAGUUAAAAGUUUCCCUGGUAAAGAGAAUUCCGAGAGAAGAAAUAGCCAGCUUUUCUUCCAAACACAAAAUGUUACGAAAAAUACUUGAACCAACAUGAAAAUAUUGGGCCAUUUAUAUUUGGGUCAUUUCUACCACAGGAUUUCCUUUUUUCUAAACAUCCUCUCAAUUUCAGUGACUUUCUGUAUUUUUUAAAUUUAGAGCUCAUUAAAAAAAAAGAUUUGGUAUGCAUACCAGAACUAUGCAAAAUACUUGGCAAAACUCACUGAUACAUAAAAUUCAGUUAUUUGUAAAAACAUACAUAAAAUUGCCUAAUUUUUGUAUUUAAAUGCCCUC